CGCCCAUUAAAGCGGUACGCGAGCUGGGUUCAGAACGUCGUGAGACAGUUCGGUCCCUAUCCGUCGUGGGCGUAGGAAAUUUGAGAGGAGCUGUCCUUAGUACGAGAGGACCGGGAUGGACAUACCUCUGGUGUACCAGUUGUCGUGCCAACGGCAUAGCUGGGUAGCUAUGUGUGGACGGGAUAAGUGCUGAAAGCAUCUAAGCAUGAAGCCCCCCUCAAGAUGAGAUUUCCCAACUUCGGUUAUAAGAUCCCUCAAAGAUGAUGAGGUUAAUAGGUUCGAGGUGGAAGCAUGGUGACAUGUGGAGCUGACGAAUACUAA
Molecule: ribosomal RNA, 321 nt
Filed under: Staphylococcus aureus
Lineage: Bacteria; Bacillati; Bacillota; Bacilli; Caryophanales; Staphylococcaceae
Description: partial 23S ribosomal RNA
Rfam family: Bacterial large subunit ribosomal RNA
Source: RNAcentral